This 69-nucleotide transfer RNA is filed under the name Sphyraena pinguis (red barracuda). Its description in RNAcentral is "tRNA-Ala". It matches the Rfam family "tRNA". From Rfam's summary of the family: Transfer RNA (tRNA) molecules are approximately 80 nucleotides in length. Their secondary structure includes four short double-helical elements and three loops (D, anti-codon, and T loops). Further hydrogen bonds mediate the characteristic L-shaped molecular structure. tRNAs have two regions of fundamental functional importance: the anti-codon, which is responsible for specific mRNA codon recognition, and the 3' end, to which the tRNAs corresponding amino acid is attached (by aminoacyl-tRNA synthetases). tRNAs cope with the degeneracy of the genetic code in two manners: having more than one tRNA (with a specific anti-codon) for a particular amino acid; and 'wobble' base-pairing, i.e. permitting non-standard base-pairing at the 3rd anti-codon position. Lineage: Eukaryota; Metazoa; Chordata; Actinopteri; Sphyraenidae. The record is from RNAcentral.
AAGGCUUUAGCUUAAUCAAAGCGCUUGCUUUGCAAGCAAGCAAUGUAGGAUAGAGUCCUGCAAGCCUUA